This 492-nucleotide ribosomal RNA is filed under the name uncultured bacterium. Its description in RNAcentral is "partial 16S ribosomal RNA". It matches the Rfam family "Bacterial small subunit ribosomal RNA", at positions 29 to 507 of the family's 1533-position model. The record is from RNAcentral.
AGUGAACGCUGGCGGUAGGCCUAACACAUGCCAGUCGAACGGCAGCACAGUAAGAGCUUGCUCUUACGGGUGGCGAGUGGCGGACGGGUGAGGAAUACAUCGGAAUCUACUUUUUCUUGGGGGAUAACGUAGGGAAACUUACGCUAAUACCGCAUACGACCUACGGGUGAAAGCAGGGGAUCUUCGGACCUUGCGCGAUUGAAUGAGCCGAUGUCGGAUUAGCUAGUUGGCGGGGUAAAGGCCCACCAAGGCGACGAUCCGUAGCUGGUCUGAGAGGAUGAUCAGCCACACUGGAACUGAGACACGGUCCAGACUCCUACGGGAGGCAGCAGUGGGGAAUAUUGGACAAUGGGCGCAAGCCUGAUCCAGCCAUACCGCGUGGGUGAAGAAGGCCUUCGGGUUGUAAAGCCCUUUUGUUGGGAAAGAAAAGCAGCAGGUUAAUACCCCGCUGUUCUGACGGUACCCAAAGAAUAAGCACCGGCUAACUUCGUG